This 774-nucleotide ribosomal RNA is filed under the name uncultured Neocallimastigales. RNAcentral describes it as "partial large subunit ribosomal RNA". It matches the Rfam family "Eukaryotic large subunit ribosomal RNA", at positions 20 to 616 of the family's 3401-position model. Lineage: Eukaryota; Fungi; Neocallimastigomycota; Neocallimastigomycetes; Neocallimastigales. The record is from RNAcentral.
UACUAGAGUAGCACUCGCAUAUCAAUAAGCGGAGGAAAAGAAACUAACAAGGAUUCCCCUAGUAACGGCGAGUGAAGUGGGAAGAGCUCAAAUUUGAAAUCUUAAAGGGUUUCCCUUUACGAAUUGUAGUUUAAAGAAGUGUUUUCUGUUGAGGUUUUGGUAAAAGUUCUUUGGAAUAGGACAUCAUAGAGGGUGAGAAUCCCGUAUUUGACCUUUACUUUCAACUUUGUGAUACACUUUCAAAGAGUCGGAUUGUUUGGGAAUGCAGUCCAAAAUGGGUGGUGAAUUUCAUCUAAAGCUAAAUAUUGGCGAGAGACCGAUAGCGAACAAGUACCGUGAGGGAAAGAUGAAAAGAACUUUGAAAAGAGAGUUAAACAGUACGUGAAAUUGUCAAAAGGGAAGCGUUUGACACCAGUGUUGUUUUUCUGAAAAUCAAUUAAAGAACUGUUUAUGCUAAGCUGUUUAGACUUUAUCAGCUAUCUGUUUAGUUUUGAGCUUUUCUUUAAUGCACUUUUCAGUUAACAAGUCAACAUCAAUUUCUUUUGCUGUAAAAAAGCUUGAGGAAGGUGGCUUGAGAUUCGUCUUAAGUGUUUAUAGCCUCUUGCCUAUGCAGUCGGAGAGAUUGAGGUCUGCAGCGUAGAUCCUUCGGGGCUAAAUGCAUUUGUGCUAAGUUAUAGCAUUUUAUAGACAACUUGUUGACUAUGAUUUGUCUUGUAGCUUACUCGCUUAUGUUAUUUUACCUACGCUUAGGAUGUUGAGCGCAUGUCUCUCUCU